RNAcentral lists this ribosomal RNA (519 nucleotides) under uncultured bacterium. RNAcentral describes it as "bacterial SSU rRNA". It matches the Rfam family "Bacterial small subunit ribosomal RNA", at positions 8 to 522 of the family's 1533-position model. The record is from RNAcentral.
AGAGUUUGAUUAUGGCUCAGGAUGAACGCUAGCGGCAGGCUUAACACAUGCAAGUCGAGGGGUAACAGGGAGAGCUUGCUUUCUGCUGACGACCGGCGCACGGGUGCGUAACGCGUAUACAAUCUACCUUAUACUGGGGUAUAGCCUUUAGAAAUGAAGAUUAAUCCCCCAUAGUCUCUUUUUGCGGCAUCACUAAAGGAGUAAAGGAUACGGUAUAAGAUGAGUAUGCGUUCUAUUAGUUUGUUGGUGUGGUAACGGCACACCAAGACUACGAUAGAUAGGGGCCCUGAGAGGGGGAUCCCCCACACUGGUACUGAGACACGGACCAGACUCCUACGGGAGGCAGCAGUGAGGAAUAUUGGACAAUGGAGGCAACUCUGAUCCAGCCAUGCCGCGUGUAGGAUGACUGCCCUAUGGGUUGUAAACUACUUUUAUACAGGAAGAAACACCUCUACGUGUAGAGGCUUGACGGUACUGUAAGAAUAAGGAUCGGCUAACUCCGUGCCAGCAGCCGCGGUA